Molecule: ribosomal RNA, 428 nt
Filed under: uncultured bacterium
Lineage: Bacteria
Description: bacterial SSU rRNA
Rfam family: Bacterial small subunit ribosomal RNA
Source: RNAcentral
GAUGAACGCUAGCUACAGGCUUAACACAUGCAAGUCGAGGGGAAACGACAUCGAAAGCUUGCUUUUGGUGGGCGUCGACCGGCGCACGGGUGAGUAACGCGUAUCCAACCUGCCCACCACUUGGGGAUAACCUUGCGAAAGUAAGACUAAUACCCAAUGAUAUCCCACGAAGGCAUCCGAAUGGGAUUAAAGAUUUAUCGGUGAUGGAUGGGGAUGCGUCUGAUUAGCUUGUUGGCGGGGUAACGGCCCACCAAGGCAACGAUCAGUAGGGGUUCUGAGAGGAAGGUCCCCCACAUUGGAACUGAGACACGGUCCAAACUCCUACGGGAGGCAGCAGUGGGGAAUAUUGCACAAUGGGCGAAAACCCUGAUGCAGCAACGCCGCGUGAGUGAUGACGGCCUUCGGUGUAAAGCUCUGUCUUCAGGGAC